UGAACCAGCCAAGUAGCGUGCAGGAAGACGGCCCUAUGGGUUGUAAACUGCUUUUAUGCGGGGAUAAAGCGGGCGACGUGUCGCCCUUUGCAGGUACCGCAUGAAUAAGGACCGGCUAAUUCCGUGCCAGCAGCCGCGGUAAUACGGAAGGUCCGGGCGUUAUCCGGAUUUAUUGGGUUUAAAGGGAGCGCAGGCCGGGUAUUAAGCGUGUUGUGAAAUGUAGGCGCUCAACGUCUGCACCGCAGCGCGAACUGGUGCCCUUGAGUACGCACGACGUUGGCGGAAUUCGCCGUGUAGCGGUGAAAUGCUUAGAUAUGGCGAAGAACUCCGAUUGCGAAGGCAGCUGACGGGAGCGCUACUGACGCUCAUGCUCGAAAGCGCGGGUAUCGAACAGGAUUAGAUACCCUGGUAGUCCGCGCGGUAAACGAUGGAUGCCCGCUAUUUGCGCGUUAGCGCAAGUGGCCAAGUGAAAACGUUAAGCAUCCCACCUGGGGAGUACGCCGGCAACGGUGCAACUCAAAGGAAUUGACGGAAU
Molecule: ribosomal RNA, 535 nt
Filed under: uncultured organism
Description: bacterial SSU rRNA
Rfam family: Bacterial small subunit ribosomal RNA
Source: RNAcentral